AGUGAACGCUGGCGGUAGGCCUAACACAUGCAAGUCGAACGGCAGCACAGUAAGAGCUUGCUCUUACGGGUGGCGAGUGGCGGACGGGUGAGGAAUACAUCGGAAUCUACUUUUUCGUGGGGGAUAACGUAGGGAAACUUACGCUAAUAUCGCAUAUGACCUACGGGUGUAAGCAGGGGAUAUUCGGACCUUGCGCGAUUGAAUGAGCCGAUGUCGGAUUAGCUAGUUGGCGGGGUAAAGGCCCACCAAGGCGACGAUCCGUAGCUGGUCUGAGAGGGUGAUCGCCCACACUGGAACUGAGACACGGUCCAGACUCCUACGGGAGGCAGCAGUGGGGAAUAUUUGACAAUGGGCGCAAGCCUGAUCCAGCCAUACCGCGUGAGUGAAGAAGGCCUUCGGGUUGUAAAGCCCUUUUGUUGGGAAAGAAAAGCAGCAGGUUAAUACGCCGCUGUUCUGACGGUACCCAAAGAAUAAGCACCGGCUAACUUCGUG
RNAcentral lists this ribosomal RNA (492 nucleotides) under uncultured bacterium. Its description in RNAcentral is "partial 16S ribosomal RNA". It matches the Rfam family "Bacterial small subunit ribosomal RNA", at positions 29 to 507 of the family's 1533-position model. The record is from RNAcentral.